GGCUUUUCUUUUCUUGGGAUGUACAGCAGACUUCUCUUGGCAGCCCUACAUUUCAAUAGUAAUGGCAACAGAGAUGUAGCGCGAACUAGUGAGGGUGAGGUACGCUACGCUGUUCGCUACCCACGGUUUCGGAAAGGUGGCUGGGUAGUCCACCCCAUCAAGGAGAAACCAUCUUACGGAUACGCAACAAAUCUUAUGGUCUCUCUGGUAGAGGAAUACUGCAAGUCACCACAGGCCCUACAAGAAAGCAGUGCCGUCUUGUCCUCUGCUGCACCGCCCCCCCUCACCUU
Long non-coding RNA from Carassius carassius (crucian carp), 290 nucleotides. RefSeq lists it as uncharacterized. The transcript has 3 exons. The record is from RefSeq and is a predicted model, not a curated record. NCBI's taxonomy places the organism in Eukaryota, Metazoa, Chordata, Actinopteri, Cypriniformes, Cyprinidae.